This 340-nucleotide unclassified non-coding RNA is filed under the name soil metagenome. RNAcentral describes it as "partial contains 5.8S ribosomal RNA, internal transcribed spacer 2, and large subunit ribosomal RNA". The stretch from base 1 to 120 matches the Rfam family "5.8S ribosomal RNA", at positions 35 to 154 of the family's 154-position model. The record is from RNAcentral.
GAUGAAGAACGUAGUGAAAUGCGAUAAGUAGUGUGAAUUGCAGAAUUCAGUGAAUCAUCGAAUCUUUGAACGCACAUUGCGCCCUUUGGUAUUCCAAAGGGCAUGCCUGUUCGAGCGUCAUUUGUACCCUCAAGCUUUGCUUGGUGUUGGGCGUCUUGUCUCUAGCUUUGCUGGAGACUCGCCUUAAAGUAAUUGGCAGCCGGCCUACUGGUUUCGGAGCGCAGCACAAGUCGCACUCUCUAUCAGCAAAGGUCUAGCAUCCAUUAAGCCUUUUUUUCAACUUUUGACCUCGGAUCAGGUAGGGAUACCCGCUGAACUUAAGCAUAUCAAUAAGCGGAGG